This 573-nucleotide ribosomal RNA is filed under the name Shigella flexneri. RNAcentral describes it as "bacterial SSU rRNA". It matches the Rfam family "Bacterial small subunit ribosomal RNA", at positions 907 to 1480 of the family's 1533-position model. Lineage: Bacteria; Pseudomonadati; Pseudomonadota; Gammaproteobacteria; Enterobacterales; Enterobacteriaceae. The record is from RNAcentral.
GAAUUGACGGGGGCCCGCACAAGCGGUGGAGCAUGUGGUUUAAUUCGAUGCAACGCGAAGAACCUUACCUGGUCUUGACAUCCACGGAAGUUUUCAGAGAUGAGAAUGUGCCUUCGGGAACCGUGAGACAGGUGCUGCAUGGCUGUCGUCAGCUCGUGUUGUGAAAUGUUGGGUUAAGUCCCGCAACGAGCGCAACCCUUAUCCUUUGUUGCCAGCGGUCCGGCCGGGAACUCAAAGGAGACUGCCAGUGAUAAACUGGAGGAAGGUGGGGAUGACGUCAAGUCAUCAUGGCCCUUACGACCAGGGCUACACACGUGCUACAAUGGCGCAUACAAAGAGAAGCGACCUCGCGAGAGCAAGCGGACCUCAUAAAGUGCGUCGUAGUCCGGAUUGGAGUCUGCAACUCGACUCCAUGAAGUCGGAAUCGCUAGUAAUCGUGGAUCAGAAUGCCACGGUGAAUACGUUCCCGGGCCUUGUACACACCGCCCGUCACACCAUGGGAGUGGGUUGCAAAAGAAGUAGGUAGCUUAACCUUCGGGAGGGCGCUUACCACUUUGUGAUUCAUGACUGGGG